CAAGCGUUAUCCGGAGUUACUGGGCGUAAAGCGCGUGUAGGCGGCUCGGUAAGUGGGUCGUGAAAGCGCCCGGCUAAACUGGGCGAGGACGAUCGAGACUGCCAGGCUAGAGGGUGGUAGAGGGACAGGGAAUUCCGGGUGUAGCGGUGAAAUGUGUAGAGAUCCGGAGGAACACCGAUGGCGAAGGCAGCCUCCUGGGCCAAUACUGACGCUCAUGCACGAAAGCGUGGGGAGCAAACAGG
Molecule: ribosomal RNA, 242 nt
Filed under: uncultured bacterium
Lineage: Bacteria
Description: partial 16S ribosomal RNA
Rfam family: Bacterial small subunit ribosomal RNA
Source: RNAcentral